This 401-nucleotide ribosomal RNA is filed under the name uncultured bacterium. RNAcentral's name for it is "bacterial SSU rRNA". It matches the Rfam family "Bacterial small subunit ribosomal RNA", at positions 355 to 773 of the family's 1533-position model. The record is from RNAcentral.
UGGGGAAUUUUGGACAAUGGGGGCAACCCUGAUCCAGCCAUGCCGCGUGAGUGAUGAAGGCCCUAGGGUUGUAAAGCUCUUUCAACGGUGAAGAUAAUGACGGUAACCGUAGAAGAAGCCCCGGCUAACUUCGUGCCAGCAGCCGCGGUAAUACGAAGGGGGCUAGCGUUGCUCGGAAUCACUGGGCGUAAAGGGUGCGUAGGCGGGUCUUUAAGUCAGGGGUGAAAUCCUGGAGCUCAACUCCAGAACUGCCUUUGAUACUGAAGAUCUUGAGUUCGGGAGAGGUGAGUGGAACUGCGAGUGUAGAGGUGAAAUUCGUAGAUAUUCGCAAGAACACCAGAGGCGAAGGCGGCUCACUGGCCCGAUACUGACGCUGAGGCACGAAAGCGUGGGGAGCAAAC